Molecule: long non-coding RNA, 11000 nt
Filed under: Lynx pardinus (Iberian lynx)
Lineage: Eukaryota; Metazoa; Chordata; Mammalia; Carnivora; Felidae
Source: RNAcentral
CGCCCAUCUUUGCUCCAGCGCUGUGAGUACAAACUCUCCGGCCUGGGCAACCCGCGGUCAGUAAACCACUAGGAGUCUGACCUCAUGGAGGCAGGACGCCCUCUCUCGAGGCGGGGAAAUUUGUGGUGGUUGGAGGUGGCAUCGCGGGUGUCACCGGUACUAAGCAGGUAGGCUGACCCGCAAACAGUUCCGCCUCUUCCCCGGCUCAGGUGGUGGCACUCAAGGCAUCCUCCCGCCUCUACCCAAGUCCUCGUUCCAGAUCCCUCUAUAGCCGCUGCCUUUUCUCCCGCCCCCCGCACUCCUUCUUCGUCUCAGUUAUUAGAGACUGCGUAGUGGCCCUUGGGCGAAAUUCUUAGUACCUCGCAAGGUUCGCCUUAGGCUCAGGGAGAAGUGGGGACAAGUUGUUGGGGGGACCCCAAAGCUGAGUGAACCAGACUGUGGUGAUAGUUAACCUGAGCAGACAAGAGGGUUUAAAACUGAUUAAGUACUUGGUCAGAACAUUCACCCUUCUUUCUUAAUUAGCUGAUUGAGUUCAGCUUCCACGUAGAUGCCAGAGCCUUAGUUUAUCGUAAAUAAUUGAUGAACUCAUGUUGUUUCCUACACUUUGAAUUUCCAAGAUAGAAGAGAUUUCAUCUCCAGUAAUGUUUUAUAAAACAACCAACAAGGGAAUAGAUGCAGCUGGGGAAUAGUUUUCUGAUUAUAGUGAAUAAUCAGACCAAAUAUAUACAUUCCAAAAAGGACUAUUUUGUGGAUAUAAAGUAAACAUAAGCAAUCAUUGAAGUCACAGAAGUAGUGCAGGAAAUUCGAGAGUUGUUUUCACACUUUCAAUCCUAGGUGUCUAUUUUCCGUUUUUUCACAAAGUAAACACCUGUUAUCCAGGUACUGUACUAAGGGCUGGUUAGUCAAUUAUAAACAGAGCCUUGUAUUUCCUUUUUAGGGAUUCACAGGCUAGUGGAAGAGACAUGUAAAUAAAUCAUUUCAUCAAUGUGUUUGCCAGCUUAAGGAUAUCAGUGGAGUUGGUAGGGCAUGAAUUAGGGGGGAGGUAUCCUUUUGUCUCAAUGUAGAAAAUGAGUAAAAGUUCACCAGGUGGACAAGAAGAACUAGAUGGUUCAAAGGGAGGCGAGGAUAUAAUCUUAGGUGGAAAGCAUGGCAGUACUGAGAGCAGCAAAGCUUAAAGAACAUGGUGCUUGGGGAGGUGAUCAGACAUGAAGCUGGGAAGGUUGGCAGAGACCAGAACAUGAAGGGUCUUAUAAGCCUUGAUGAAAAUGUAACAAGAACUUACGAGUAAUGAGAUGAUUUUGAGCAGUGGCCUAAUGUGAUCAAAUACAUUUUGAAAGAUCAUUAGUUACAAUGCACUUGGGGGAGGGGUUAAAAUGAGACUGCAAGGCCAGUUGAAAGGUGAUUGUAGUAGUACAAAGAAGUUUCAGGGGUGUCUGGCUGGCUCAUUCUGUAGAGUAUGCUACUCUUGAUCAAGGUCCUGAGGUUGAGCACCAUGUUGAGUGGCAGGAUUACUUUUUAAAAAAAGGUUUGAGAGCUAGAUGUAGCAAUGAAAAGAGAAAGUAGGUAAAUAAAUUGCAGAGUAUAUACAGAAAAGAAAGAUGGAGAGAGUGGUAAUAUUAUCAAGUAUUAUAGAAAGUUCAAAUAAGAUGAUAUUAAAAAGAAUCUGGUGGGUUUUAAGGAUGUAUAGGUGAAUGGAAGAUGCUCAGGGUUUUUUUUUUUUUUAAUAUUUAUUUUUGAGAGAGAGAGAGAGACAGAGUACAAACAGAGGAGGAGCAGAGAGAGGGGGACACACAGAAUCUGAAGCAGGCUCCAAGCUCUGAGCUGUCAGCACAGAGCCUGACACGGGGCUUUGACUCACAAACCAUGAGAUCAUAACCUGCGCUGAAGUCAGAUGCUUAACCAGCUGAGCCACCCAGGCACCCCCUCAGGGUUUUUUUCUUUAUUGAAUAUUGACAUGCAAUAUUCUCUUACUGAGGUGUACAUUGUAGUGAUUGGAUAUUUAUAUGCAUUAUGAAGUGAUCACCUCAAUAGGCAUAGUUACCCUCUGUCACUAUACAAAGUUAUUAUACUAUUAUUGACUAUAUUCCCUGUGCUGUGUAUUGCAUCCUUCUGACUUAUUUAUUUUAUAACUGGAAGUUAGUUCUUCUUAAUUUUUGUUUUGGCCACUCCCACCCCCUAACCCCCAACCCCUUCCCACUCUGGUAACCUGAGUUUGUUUGUUUCCUGUAUCUUUGAGUCUGUUGUUUGUUUUUAGAUUCCACAGAUAUUGAAAUCAUAUGGUACUUGUCUUUCUCUGACUUAUUUCUCUUGACAUAAUACCCUCUGGGUCCAUUCAUGUUGUCACAAAUGUCAAGAUUUCCUUUAUCUUAUGACUGAAUAGUAUUUCAUUGAAUAUUUAUAUACAUAUGCCACAUCUUCUUUAUCCAUUCGUCUAUCAGUGAACACUUAGGUUUCUCACCUACCUUGGCUAUUGUAAAUACUGCUGCAGUGAACAUAGCAGUGCGUAUAUCUCUUUGAAUUGGUGUUUUGUUCUCUUUGGAUAAAUACCCAGAAGUGGAAUUCCUGGAUCAUAUGGUAGUUCUAUUUUUAAUUUUUUGAGGAAACUCCAUAGUGUUUUCCAUAGUGGCUACACCAGUUUAUAUUCCCACCAUGACUGUACAGUGGUUCCCUUUUCUCCGCAUCCUCACCAACACUUGUGACUUCUUAUCUUUCUAAUUACAGCCAAUCUGACAGGUGUGAGGUGGUAUCUCAUUGUGGUUUUGAUUUGCAUUUCCCUGAUGAUUAGUGAUGUUGAGCAUGUUUUCAUGUGUCGACGUGUGUUGGCCAUGUGUAUGUUUUUGGAAAAAAUGUUCAAUCUACCCAUUUUUUUAAUUGAGUUUUUUUUUUUAUUCAGUUGUAUAAGUUUUUUAAAUAUAUUUUGGAUAUUAACCCAUUAUUGCAUGUGUGAUUUGCAAAUAUUCUCUCCCAUUCAGGUUACCUUUUCGUUUUGUUGAUGGUUUCCUUCUCUCCGCAAAAGCCUUUUAGUUUUAUGUCAUUUCAUUUUACUUUGCCUGAGGAAAAUGGUUCAAAAAAUAUUGCUAAGACUGGUGUCAGAGAGCUUACUGCCUAUAUUUUCUUCUAGGAAUGUUAUGGUUUCACAUCUUAUAUUCAAGUCUUUAAUCCAUUUUGAAUUUAUUUUUGUAUAUGGUGUAAGAUAGUGGUCUAGUUUCAUUCUUCAGCAUGUAAGCUGUCCAGUUUUCCCAAGACAAUUUUCCAUUGUAUAUUCUUACCUCCUUUGUCAUAGACUAGUUGGCCAUCUAUGUGUGGGCUUAUAUGUGGGCUCUCUGUUUCAUUCCAUUAAUCUGUGUGUCCCAUUUUUUUAUGCCAGGACCAUACCGUUUUGAUUACUACAGCUUGGUAGUAUGGUUUGAAAUCGGGGAGCAUAAUACCUCCCACUCUGUUCUUUCUCAAGAUUGCUUUGACUAUUCAGGGUCUUUUUGUGGCUUCAUACAAAUUUUAGGAUUCUUUGUUCCAGUUCUUUGAAAAAUGCUGUUGGUAUUUUGGUGGGGAUUGUAUUGAACCUGUAGAUAGCUUUGGGAACUAUGGACAUGUUAACAUAUCAAUUUUUCCAAACCAUGAGCAUGAUAGAUCUUUCCAUUUAUGUAUAUCUUCUUAAGUUUUUUCAUCAGUGGCUUAUAGUUUUCAGUGUACAGGUCUCUUUGUGUCUUUGGUUAAAUUUAUUCCUAGGUAUUUUAUUCUGUAUGAUGCAGUUGUAAAUGGGAUUGUUUUCUUAAUUUCUCUUUCUGAUAGCUUGUUAUUAACGUAUAGAAACUAGACCAAUUUCUGUAUGUCAUUUUGUUCUCUGGAACUUACUGAAUUAAUUUAUUCAUUCUAAUAGUUUUUUGGUUGAACAUGCUCAGUUUUAACGGUAUAGUAGUGAGAGAAAUAGAAAAUGGUGGAGUUGAAGUGGAGGAUGAUUUAAGAAAAUUCUUUCAAGAAGUUUAAAGUGAAAAAGAAAAAGGUUAUAGCUGAAGGAAAAUGAUGGAAAAAAAUGGUAAGUUAAGCCUCUAAAUUCUUUCGAAGCUAAUACUAAAAUGGUUUUGUUUUCCCAGAGUAUAUACUGGCAUAUAAGAUAGUUUAAGUAAAUAAGGAAUACAAUUGAUGGUAUUUGAGCCAAUAUGACAAAAUCAGAGUUUUCAAGCCAAAAUCAGAAUUUUGGAAACCUCAUAUUCUUCACUGUGAGCCUCAUGAAACUUGAAGAAUUUUCUGAUGAGAUUGUUGGUGAUAAUAAUGAAUGUGUUUUUUUGAUAAUGUAGUGAUUUGAAAUUUGUUAACAUUUGGAAGAUCUCUAUAAAACUUAGUGAACCAAUAUUGUCCAGAUGACAAAUGUGAUGUUACAAGAUCCAUUUAAAGUUCAGGAUAGACCAAUGGCUUUCACAAGAACAGAAUAUGAAAAAUUCUUUGAUAUGGUUUCAAAUUCUACAUUGCAACUAAUCUUUAGGAAACCACACGUGUUAGUGUAACAUCAAAGAAGAAUAUACAGUUCUCUGAAAAGGCUGCAUACCUGUGUGAGGGUGAACUGUCUUCAGAUACUUCAGCCAGAUUAACAUAUUGUAAUAGUUUGAAUGCAGAAGCAGUUCUAAGUGCAGACAUUAAAGAAAUUUUCAGAGGUGCCUGGGUGGCUCAGUCAGUUAAACGUCUGCAUGAUCUUCAGUUCUUGAGUUUGAACUCCAUGUCAGGCUCUGUGCUGACAGCUCAGAGCCUGGGGCCUGCUUCAGAUUCCGUGUCUCCCUCUCUCUCUGCCCCUCCCCUGUUCAUGCUCUGUCUCUCUCUUUCUCUCAAAAAUAAAUAAAAACAUUUUUAAAAAAUUAAAAAAAAAUAAACUUGCAAAAAUGUAAAAGUGCCAUUCUUCUCAAUUUGUUUUGGAAAAAAAGUAUUAUUUUUUAUUAAAAGGAUAUUAUAUCUGUUUAACAUGUAUUGGAUUUAUUAUUCUUUUAAGUGAAUUAAAUAUUUUAAUUUUUUCUUAGUUUUAAUUUUAAUGUGGCAAAUAUCACUGGGUUUAACUCACACAGACAAAAGUUCUUUGGAGUCCUCAGUCAUUUUAAGAGUGUAAAGGGGUCUUGAGACUGAAAGGUUGAGAACUGCUAGGGCCAUGGAGUAGGUAGGUCUUCCAAGUAGUAUUUAAUGGACAGCUGAAGUCAAAUGCCAGUCUGCAAGGUGUGGUCCUUCCACCACACACUGAAUAUAGGACUGGAGAAAGCAGGUAGUUCAAUCUGUGAUUAGGAGUUUUAGGGUAGUUAAUGGUUAAAGAUAAGAGAGCAAGGAAGUAAAAGUUUGGGCAAAACAUGAAAUGAUCUACAACGGAGUCUUGGCUGCAUAGGAAGAAAAGUGAACCCAAGAGGAUGCUAAUGGUUUUGGACAGCAGGAAAGAGUCCAAAGACUAGAUCACAAUAAAGUUAGCUAGUAAGUGGACAGAGAAAACUAUAAGGAUAUGGAAAUAGACAAGCUAUUCUUGUCUAUUCUAUGUGGUUCAAGUAUGCAGAAGUAAGUAGAGUUAGCCCUGAUUUUCCAGGCUAGGAAACUAACGUGCACUUGGCUGACUUGAAUUCAAGUCUUAAAAUGUGGACUUUGCCUACUUUUCACUGCAUAUAGUGCAAUUAGCUGGCCUUCUUGUUUUAUGAACAUGAAGUAAGUAGUGUAUAAAAACAAAAAUAUUUUUAUUAAAAUUCUUAAAAGGAAAUAUUUUUUAAAAACAUACAUUUUUUUUUACCUUUUUGAUCUAAUAGGGUUUCUGACGUAUUGGAGGAGUUUGAUGUUGAAGAGCCACAGAAAACCAUGUUAGAAAAUUGCUUUCCCAACAUUAAGGUUAUAGAAUCCAGAAUAAAGGAACUGAAGAGUAAGGAACAUGUAAGAGGAUUUUUUUCUUGGGAUGCCUGGGUGGCUCAGUUACACGUAGGACUCUUGAUUUUGUCUCAGGUCAUGAUCUUAUGGUUCGUGGGUUUGAGCCCUGCAUCUGGCUCUGUGUUGACACUAUGGAGCCUGCUUGGGAUUCUCUCUCCCUCUGUGCUUCUCCCACAUUUGUUCUGUCUCUCUCAAACAAACAUUUAAAAAAAAAAAAAAAAAAGGAUUUUUAAUGACAGUCCAUUGUUCGGUCUUUUUUUAAUAUAUUUUUUUAAUGUUUUAUUUAUUUUUGAGAGAGAGAGAGAGACAGAGUGUGAGCGGGGGAGGGGCAGAGAGAGAGGGAGAUACAGAACCCGAAGCAGGCUCCAGGCUCUACGCUGUCGGCACAGAGCCCGACACGGGUCUGGAACCCAUGAACUGGGAGAUCAUGACCUGAGUUGAAGUCGGCCGCUCAACCGACUGAACCACUUAGGCAUCCCCCCCACCAUUGUUCAGUCUUGAUGAGCUUUUGCCUGCUUUCUUUUGACCCCAUCUGUACUCCCACCAUUACUAAGGCCCCUAGUAUAUAAAGCUUAGUAACAUUGGUUUCAUUAUUAGAAAAACUUACACUUUUUGAGUUUAUUGGGAUUAUAUAAUUAGUUGGAUUUAGCAUUUUAGGUUUUACAUUUCAAAUUAGCAUUAACAUUUAUAUAGUGUCUACUAUGUUCUAGGCACUGCAGAAGUGCUGGGAUACAACAGGAACAUUACAGUGAACUUGGCCUGGGAGGUCUCAUUGUCAUAGGGAAUAUAGACAUGCACAUGUAUUAAUUAUAUGUACAUGUGAAAGCACAGUCACUGAAAUAUUAUCAAAGCUCUGAUACUAGGGAUUUUGGAGGACCUCACAGAAGGAGAAAAUAUUUGAACUGUGUUUAAAAGGUGGGUGAAUUAAGAGUUCUUAAUUAAGGACAUUGUAGGAAAAGGAGGUUGCUUGUUCAAAGACCCAAAGAAAAGCACGUGGAAGAGUAACAUUGUCAGAGGUACUGUCUGUGGUAGAGAUAAGGAGAGGAGAUUGGCAGACUAGAGCAAACAAAUAGGACUGUGAAGAGCUGUCUACAUCAUGCCAAGAAAUUUAUUUUACCGUCAGUGGAGAAAUAAAGAGAAUUUACGUGAAGGUAAGGAUGGUAAUACAUUUUUAGGAAGAUAGAUGGCAAUGUUGAGGAUGAAGUGGGGUGGAGUGAGUGAUAGUGGCCAGCAACCAAACCAGAAGGUGGUUGCAAUAGUCCAAAAUGAUAGAAGACCUGAAUGAAGACAAGGACAGUGUAGUUGGAAAGAAUGGCCCAGAUAUGAGUGAGAUUUUUACUAUAAACUCAGCAGGACUCAGUAACCUAUUGGAUGUGGGAAUGAAUAAGGCAGUCGGAAGAAAGGUGUUGUCAGAUGAGAAACAAUAUCCUCAGGUGAGCCUUAGGUUAAGAUGAGUAGUAGAGUUUGUAGUUGUUUCUCUACAGCAACUCUAAUGUGGGAGUUCUCCCGAGAAAACGGGUAGGUAACACAUUUGAAACACAAAUAACUUGAUAGGAAAAAAAUAAAAAGUACUAACUUUUCAGAGAAAAACAUUAAAACUCUGAAUCCCAAACCAGAAUAAAUUUCUAAUACUCAUAGUGGUACAUAUUGCCUAGGACAUCCAUGUCAUUUAAUUUGCACACUGAGGUGGGCACAAAUGUAUGCUGAUAAAUUGUGAGGCAGUUAUAUUAGCACCUUUGAAUAAAUCAGAGUGCCACCCAUUACCAUUUGAAGUGUCCUACAUGAGAUCAUGUCUGUAUUCUCUUAUUUAAAUGUCCUGAAUAUUCUUUAAUGAAUUAGAGAUUUUUUAUCUUCGUGUCUACUUGCAAAAAUUUAACGUUAGCCAAUGAAAAGAAUGUUUGUUUUUACAGUAGCCAAAUGUAAAUUAUUUUUUAAAUUUGGUCGGUGUCUGUAACUACUGUUGAUCAGAUAAAAUUCUAACCACAUUAUCUGCAGGAAGACAUAGAGAAUUUCUAUGUGCAGUAUACUGUAUUGAAUUAUUGGCCUUAUGUAUUUGCAAUGCAGCUAAAGAGUUAAAUGGAUAGUGAAUGGCUCAGUGGGUAUUAAGUGCUGUCUUAUGAUUUGCCAUAUUUUAUAACAUGGCACAAUGUUAACCUGUAAACCACUCCCACUCCACCAUCUCUCAUAGUUGUAUGUGGGUGUGUGUGUGUGUGUAUGCAUGUAUGCUUUUCUAAAGGCUACUACUUAUAUGUAGGUUUUCAUUUGAUAUUAAGGAACAAAAACAGUGGAUCUUGAAUGUGUAUUUUUAGCCUCAAUGAUAUUAAAAUUUAAUAUAAGGGUGCCUGUUAGUCAGUUAAGCAUCCGACUCUUGGUUUCAGCUCAGGUUAUGAUCUUACGGUUCGUGGGAUCGAGCCCUGCCUCGGACUCUGCACCGACAGUGUGAGCCUGUUUGGGAUUCUCUCUCUGCCCUUCCCCUGCUUGCCCUCUAUCCCUCUCUUUCUCAAAAUAAAUAAACAUAAAAAAUUAAUAUAAAUAACCCUAAAACAGUAUAUGCUAGGAUUUAAGGUUAACACACUUUUCACUUAUAUGAAAAUAUCAAGGAGCAUGUUUGCUGGUAAAGUGAUUGUUAUUUGUACUUAAGAAGAAUCUAAAUACUGUUUUAGUACUUCCAAUGUUUUUAUACUAAGACAUAUUGUAACCUUUUCUACCACACUUUACUCCCCUGUACCCAUGGCAGACAUUAAGGUAUGAUAUGAUUAGAAUUACUAGAUCUUAGUAACUCCCAUUGAGAUCAGAAAUUCUCAAUAAGGCCUGCCCCAGGUAUAAUAUCAGAAUGCUCAAAUUUUAUUUAUUUCUUUAUUUUAAUUUUAACAUUUAUUUAUUUUUGAGAGAGAGAGUGCAAGUUGGGGAUGGGGGGGCAGGCAGAGAGGAAGGGAGACACAGAAUCCUAAGCAGGCUCCAGGUGCUGAGCUGUCAGCACAGAGCCCGACACGGGGCAUGAACUCAAGAAUCGCAGAAAUCACGACCUAAGCCAAAGUCAGCGGCUUAAUCAACUGAGCCACCUGGGUGCCCCCAGAAUGCUCAAUUAAAAAAUUUUUUUAACCUGAGGUCAACAUGCCUUCCUGAAUAUCAUGAGAUUACCUAAAUUUUAUGCAAAAUCUGGUGUGAGUGUACCUUUUUUCUCCAAGAGAGAAAGAUUAGUUUUCACCAGAUUCCCAAAAUGGUUCACGGACCUAAAAUGAUGGUGACUCACUGGAUUGGAUAAUGGGUUCUCAGGUUUACUUUGAUUUUCAAUUGCUAUAACAAAGUAUUGAGUAUCACGAAAGGCAACCUUAAUGUAUUUUUUUUUUUGCUUUUGUCUUAAUGAAUUUUUUAUUUAAAAUGAAAUUCUACCCAUGUAUAAAUAUAUUUCUCCUCUCUCCUUCAUGGCUCUAUGUUUUUACAGUACAUUGUAACAGGAGAUGGCAGUCAGUAUGUGUAUAAGAACUUUUUGUGCUGGAGCUAAACCAAAAUUGAUACACGAAGGAAAUCCUUUUGUAUCAGGAACCCAGGAUACAGACAGUGCUCAGGUAACAUUCUGAGGUUGGGUCAUGGAAAAGGAACAUGAAUAUUUCUUAGAUUUUUCUAUAUUUGAAUCAAAGUAUUCCACUUAGAGUGUUAAGUUCUAAAUUAUAGAAGAGGUUUGUUUUAUGAUCCAUAAACCAGAAAAUAGUGUUUUAUUACUACCUAUUUCAGUUUUAGUUUUGGGUGAUAAUUUUUGUUUUUUAGUUCAUGCUCAUGUUCUGUGUUCUUUCCAUGGUGCACUAUCCCAGAUGUAAUGACUGAGCUGAAGGUUAUAACUUUCUUUAUACACAUAUUCAUUAUUGUACUUUGGGAAUAUGUGAUUUGCAACCUAAAUAAUGGAGUAUAAUAUAUUAAUAUUUUUAAAGAAUUUAUAAGGUAAUUAGCAAUUUAAAUUUACUUUGUUAGAAGUUCUACGCUUAAAUUUGAAGGAAAAAUGUUUAGAAUGCCCUAUUUUGUAAUUAUUCCCAAAACAAGGAGAUAAUAUUGAUUGCAUUACAAUUGUUUUAGCAAAUGUGCCUUAUAGACAUUAUUUAGGUCUUUUUUUUUUCUUAAUCAAACUACAGUGAACGUGGGGCUCGAACUCAUCUCCCCAAGAUCAAGAGCCGUAUGCUUUACUGACUGAGCCAGCCAGGUGCCCCCCUCAAGGGGUGUUGUUUUAAAGUCCUCUCUCGCCUUUUUCUUUCUUUCUUCUAUGCAUUAUCACGAAAUGCUAUAGAUAGCUGGUGGUGAUUACAUUUGAGAAUAAAGUUUGGUUUGUAUUUUUGUUUUUAGAGGUAUGGCCUACAUAAUUGACCAAUGAAAAGAUAUACAGCUGCAAUUUCAUGGUCGGUGCUACAGAAGUUACUCCAAAUAUAGAACCUUUUCUCUGUAGCAACAAUGUAAGGUGAAGUUUAUGUCCUGCUGUGAAUAUUUUUAAAAUACUGUAUAAGAUUUCUAACUCCCAAGCAUAAAUAACUGUGGAUUAAGCAUAAAUAACUGUGGACUGACACCUAUGGAUUCACAAGUGAUUUCUUUUAGAGAAACUAUCUUGUCUUUUUUGCCUUUUAGCAUUUGAAGCUCACAAAACAGGAAUAUUGUAAUUAUGAGUGGGGUACUCACAUGGUUACUAAGUGUUCUUGAUGUUGAAAGUCUAAGAAUUUUUUUGUUGGUCUGUCUUAGUAGCAUUUUGAUUCCCUGGAAAUUGAGCUGAGUUAUCUAAACUUGCAGCUAUUUUUUACUUUCUCAUUAAAGAUCAGCAUACUGGGGCGCCUGGGUGGCGCAGUCGGUUAAGCAUCCGACUUCAGCCAGGUCACGAUCUCACAGUCCGUGAGUUCGAGCCCCGCGUCAGGCUCUGGGCUGAUGGCUCAGAGCCUGGAGCCUGUUUCCGAUUCUGUGUCUCCCUCUCUCUGCCCCUCCCCCGUUCAUGCUCUGUCUCUCUCUGUCCCAAAAAUAAACGUUGAAAAAAAAAAAUUAAAAAUGACAAAGCCAUCUUUCACUUUUCUUCCCAGGUGUUCUCAUAAGGAACAUUGUUUAGUUUGAUCUAGACGAAGAUGGUGGCCUGAAAGUGGAUGAUCACA